Non-coding RNA from Pelobates cultripes (western spadefoot toad), 320 nucleotides. The record is from the annotation of a GenBank genome assembly. Lineage: Eukaryota; Metazoa; Chordata; Amphibia; Anura; Pelobatidae.
GUCUAAAUUCAAGAAUGAUUCCUCGGUGGUCCCAGUGGCUGUAAGGAUGCUUGCUUGGGUUCUCCCAGAGAAUGACUAAUUGAUGCCUAUUGUAUUGUGCAGCUGAUCCAUGUCCGUAUGUAAUUUAAAUGACAGGACUUCCAUUUCUAGAACCAUAUCCUGGCCCCUUGCACCUGGCUGGGAGUUGGAGGGGGCUCGCACUGAUCUCUGGGGAAGCCAUGUGUGAUUUCAAACAUAGUGGAGGAGAAAAGAGAAUAGAAGUACAAUAGAGGAAUACACAGAACAAAGCGUCACUAUACACUACUACAUCCACAAUGCAC